RNAcentral lists this ribosomal RNA (253 nucleotides) under uncultured bacterium. RNAcentral's name for it is "partial 16S ribosomal RNA". It matches the Rfam family "Bacterial small subunit ribosomal RNA", at positions 524 to 776 of the family's 1533-position model. The record is from RNAcentral.
UACAGAGGUCUCAAGCGUUGUUCGGAAUCACUGGGCGUAAAGCGCGUGUAGGCGGUCUGCUAAGUCUGAUGUGAAAGCCCGGGGCUCACCCCCGGAAGUGCAUUGGAAACUGACAGACUGGAGUCCCGGAGAGGAGGGUGGAAUUCCUGGUGUAGCGGUGAAAUGCGUAGAUAUCAGGAGGAACACCGGUGGCGAAGGCGGCCCUCUGGACGGUGACUGGCGCUGAGACGCGAAAGCGUGGGGAGCAAACAGG